GUGAGUGGGACAGCCUCGGGGAAAAACUCUGAACGUAUUUGACUGUCCAUUCCAGGUAAAUGGAAGCUUUUUUUGAUAGAAAUACAGAAGAGCACAUUCACCAAAUCAGCGGCUCUGCCCUGCGGACCUGAGAGUCUGUUACCAGUGCCCGGUACUGAAUAUAGAUGCUCUGUGAACACUGGACGGAAGGAAGAGAGAGAAGAGGACGAGAGGAGGAAGCUCAUACUGGGAAAGAGGAAUAACAAGUCAUUUCAUGAGUUCCCCAGGUGAAGCCACGGUGAAACAGGCUGCUCCAAACUGUCACCCCCUUUUUAUGCCACAAAAUAUCCCACCACCUUGCUAAUGAAUGCAUCCAAAUCAUGUCCUGCUGCCUACCUGCAGUGUGCCCUUGGACCUGUCAUUCAAUCUCACCAAGCCUGAGUUUCCUAAAAUGAUGUUAAUGAUACCUACCUCAUCAAUUGAUUAUAAGGCUUCAAUGAAGACAGCGUGAUGAGGUAUUUAACACAGUGCCUGACACCAAGAAAGCCCUUGCCACCCUCAGCAAGUGUGUAGGGGAGGAAAAGGAGCCUAAAAGCAGAUACAGUGGCUUAAUGUGUGCUUGCACUUGCAUGUGUGUGUCUGUUAUUUCAGUCUGAAGUUUACUAGGCGCUCAGUAAAUAUGAUUUGAAUAAAUUAUAAUUAUGCAUGCACAUUUUUCAGAAUAAGGAAUUUUAAUCAUUAACAUACUCCUUGCUAUUUCCAAACAACAUAGGAGCAGGGGCUCUCCCAUAAUGAGGGGGAGAUGACUCUAUAUUAAAGUAUAUAGAGUUUUUAUUUCUAUUAUAUUCUAUUAUGUAUCCUGUUUUUCUAUUUUCCUUUAUGUUCAUCCUUCACAGAAUUUCUAACACUCCUGCAUUUGCCACUCCAGUCUCCUAACUGCAGGCUGGAGAAUGAAGCUGGUUACUAUUCUUCCUUUAUUUGUCACAAAUUAAAAGAAUAUGGUGAAAAACAAUCAGUGCUGUGGACGGUAGGAUUAGUUAUCUUAUUUACUGGCUCAGGUGGCAGCUCGGGUAAGUCUCUUAAUCCAGGACCUCUGCUUUAGGACAGAGCAGCCAGCUGGACCUCAACUCCUUUCCAUUCAAUUAAUACUAUAAUAGGCUGUUGACAGUUAUUCAUUCAAUGGGAGAUGCAGCCGCAGCGGCCAUAAACGGCUAUUUCAGUUUUUGCCACUAGAGGGCGCCGCAGCCCACGAUCUGAGAUGAAGCUGGCGCUACCGCCGCUACAACGAGGCUGCGCUGCAGUAUUUUGUUACACUGUAUUGUGUUUCGCUGUAUUGUACUUUAAUGUAUUGCAUUCGAUUAAAUUGUGUCCUAUUAUAGAAAUCGAUAUGGUAUCUGAUUACUUAGAGAAACACUAUUUGCUAUUUUAUCUUUAAACGGAUGCCCAUAAUUAUCAUUUUCUUAAUUAACAAGGGCUGCAAUCGAAGCACGACAAAGCGUAAUGCACCUCAAGAAUGCCUCAGAUUCAUUUGCAAAGAGACAGCAUGUUAUAUCUGAAAGAGCUUCGAUGUUGCUCUUCAGCGCCUAGAGUAUUACUUGCAUACAGCAGGCACUCAAGAACAUAUUUGAAAGAAUUAGACAUGAUUCUGUUUUAGGUCUAAUAAAUCAGGACUGCUGUGAGGUCAUGGUGGUUUAGUGGGGAAUCCGAAUUUUUAGUGAGUGUCCCAGGUAUGUAUUGAAGUUUCGGAACCAUUGGCUCAACCCACGCCCUGUCUCAGUUUCCUCCCUUUCUUCAUCUGAAGAAUUAAUUAAUUAACGCCAGCAAUUCCUUGGUACAGGUGCUUCAGUGACGUCCUCGCCUCUUGUAAGGGAGAAGAAAUAUCGGUCCUCCUGAUUGCAGAAGCAAAGCUCACUAGGAAGGGUGAGACCUAAACUGACUCAUGCAUCCUUGUCUACCCCUUCUCACGUCGACCACAGCAGGGGCCGGAGCCAGCCCCAGGCACAGGGUCCAGCAGGGAGGAUGCAGGACAAGUUUGUACCCAGCCGUGGAAAAGAGAGAAGCAGCAAACAGUGGUCAAUACCCUGUUCCAAAGUCUAGGCCCAGAACCAAGGGCACGAGCAUCACCUGGGAACUUGUUAGCAAUGCAGGUUCUCGAGUUUCACCAUGAACAUACUGAAUCAGACUCUGGGACUGGGGCCUCACAGCCUGUGUUUUAACAAGUUCUUGGGUGAUACUGACGCACACUACAGUUUGGGGACCAGUGCUCUGUUCUGCGUGUAGUCCCCCAGGGCCAGCUGAACCUGGAGAACUUGAAGUCACGUGUCCUGAUUUCCCUAAGUUCCCCGUGAGAGUUUUCAGGUGUGCAUUGGCCAUCAAGCCUCUCCUUCACGAAUCAAACAGGCUCUGUAGCCAGAAACCCCUCUUGAAAAGUCACACAGACCAUUAACUAACUAUGAAAAAUACCUUUAUAGACACAAAUGCGUAUUUGUUUUGACAACGCCACUUUGAAGCAGAAAGAUAUUAUCACCAUUUUUGUUCACAGCUUCCGUGCAACUGAAUAAUGUGCAAAGGGCUCAGCUUUGUUAAGGUUCAGGAUAAACAUUCCUUUUAGAAUUCUCUAUCAGAGCACAUUGUCUCUCUUAGGCUGAAAGUUUCCCCUCAAAUAUAGUAUUGGCCUGAAAUAAUUUA
Lemur catta (Ring-tailed lemur) is the source of this 2667-nucleotide long non-coding RNA. RefSeq lists it as uncharacterized. Lineage: Eukaryota; Metazoa; Chordata; Mammalia; Primates; Lemuridae. The transcript is spliced from 3 exons. The record is from RefSeq and is a predicted model, not a curated record.